GAUGAAAGCUGGCGGCGUGCCUAAUACAUGCAAGUCGAGCGAAUGGAUUAAGAGCUUGCUCUUAUGAAGUUAGCGGCGGACGGGUGAGUAACACGUGGGUAACCUGCCCAUAAGACUGGGAUAACUCCGGGAAACCGGGGCUAAUACCGGAUAACAUUUUGAACCGCAUGGUUCGAAAUUGAAAGGCGGCUUCGGCUGUCACUUAUGGAUGGACCCGCGUCCCAUUAGCUAGUUGGUGAGGUAACGGCUCACCAAGGCAACGAUGCGUAGCCGACCGAGGAGGGUGAUCGGCCACACUGGGACUGAGACACGGCCCAGACUCCGACGGGAGGCAGCAGUAGGGAAUCUUCCGCAAUGGACGAAAGUCUGACGGAGCAACGCCGCGUGAGUGAUGAAGGCUUUCGGGUCGUAAAACUCUGUUGUUAGGGAAGAACAAGUGCUAGUUGAAUAAGCUGGCACCUUGACGGUACCUAACCAGAAAGCCACGGCUAACUACGUGCCAGCCGCCGCCGUAA
Molecule: ribosomal RNA, 515 nt
Filed under: uncultured bacterium
Lineage: Bacteria
Description: partial 16S ribosomal RNA
Rfam family: Bacterial small subunit ribosomal RNA
Source: RNAcentral